GCAUCCGUAGCUCAGGUGGAUAGAGUACUCGGCUACGAACCGAGCGGUCGGAGGUUCGAAUCCUCCCGGAUGCACCA
This 77-nucleotide transfer RNA is filed under the name Escherichia coli. Its description in RNAcentral is "tRNA-Arg". It matches the Rfam family "tRNA". From Rfam's summary of the family: Transfer RNA (tRNA) molecules are approximately 80 nucleotides in length. Their secondary structure includes four short double-helical elements and three loops (D, anti-codon, and T loops). The record is from RNAcentral. RNAcentral also lists the same sequence under 3 other names. Lineage: Bacteria; Pseudomonadati; Pseudomonadota; Gammaproteobacteria; Enterobacterales; Enterobacteriaceae.